GGAUGUGAGGGUGAUCUGGCUGUGACACCUGUGCCCCAGUGGCCGCCAGGGUUGAUUUGGCUGAUCUGGCUGGCUAGGUGGGUGAGUCCUCUCCCUUACACUCCAUGUGUGUACCUCUUGAAGCUGCACGCUCGAUCAAAGAGGACAACCACCCCUGAUAGAGGAGGACCGUUUCCUUGGUCAAGGGUGUAGGAGUACCCGAGCUUCCCUGCUAGACCCUCCAAAUAAGCUCACAAGAACCUGGAACUAAAAGUGACAUCAACAUCUAAAGUCACAGGCACCAUCAGGU
Molecule: small nuclear RNA, 289 nt
Filed under: Heterocephalus glaber (naked mole-rat)
Lineage: Eukaryota; Metazoa; Chordata; Mammalia; Rodentia; Bathyergidae
Description: 7SK RNA
Rfam family: 7SK RNA
About the family: 7SK was discovered as an abundant small nuclear RNA in the mid-70s but a possible function has only recently been suggested. Two independent studies have found that 7SK RNA binds the CDK9/cyclin T complex (known as elongation factor P-TEFb). P-TEFb activates transcription by phosphorylating the C-terminal domain of RNA polymerase II.
Source: Rfam by way of RNAcentral